Molecule: ribosomal RNA, 253 nt
Filed under: uncultured bacterium
Lineage: Bacteria
Description: partial 16S ribosomal RNA
Rfam family: Bacterial small subunit ribosomal RNA
Source: RNAcentral
UACGUAGGGGCCUAGCGUUGUCCGGAUUUAUUGGGCGUAAAGAGCGUGUAGGCGGCCAGACAGGUCCGUUGUGAAAACUGGAGGCUCAACCUCCAGACAUCGAUGGAAACCGUCUGGCUAGAGUCCGGAAGAGGAGAGUGGAAUUCCUGGUGUAGCGGUGAAAUGCGCAGAUAUCAGGAAGAACACCCGUGGCGAAAGCGGCUCUCUGGGACGGUACUGACGCUGAGACGCGAAAGCGUGGGGAGCGAACAGG